GAUGAACGCUGGCGGCGUGCCUAAUACAUGCAAGUCGAGCGAACAGACGAGGGGCUUGCUCCUCUGACGUUAGCGGCGGACGGGUGAGUAACACGUGGAUAACCUUCCUAUAAGACUGGGAUAACUUCGGGAAACCGGAGCUAAUACCGGAUAAUAUAUUGAACCGCAUGGUUCAAUAGUGAAAGACGGUUUUGCUGUCACUUAUAGAUGGAUCCGCGCCGCAUUAGCUAGUUGGUAAGGUAACGGCUUACCAAGGCAACGAUGCGUAGCCGACCUGAGAGGGUGAUCGGCCACACUGGAACUGAGACACGGUCCAGACUCCUACGGGAGGCAGCAGUAGGGAAUCUUCCGCAAUGGGCGAAAGCCUGACGGAGCAACGCCGCGUGAGUGAUGAAGGUCUUCGGAUCGUAAAACUCUGUUAUUAGGGAAGAACAAAUGUGUAAGUAACUAUGCACGUCUUGACGGUACCUAAUCAGAAAGCCACGGCUAACUACGUG
This 497-nucleotide ribosomal RNA is filed under the name uncultured bacterium. Its description in RNAcentral is "partial 16S ribosomal RNA". It matches the Rfam family "Bacterial small subunit ribosomal RNA", at positions 28 to 507 of the family's 1533-position model. The record is from RNAcentral.